RNAcentral lists this long non-coding RNA (270 nucleotides) under Elaeis guineensis (African oil palm). Its description in RNAcentral is "long non-coding RNA (EGUI_LNC006430)". The record is from RNAcentral. Lineage: Eukaryota; Viridiplantae; Streptophyta; Magnoliopsida; Arecales; Arecaceae.
AGUGUUGAGGUCAUCCAUGGACAUAGACCAUGGCUAAGCUGCUCAAACUAUCACAAGGGGUAGGCUCAAAGAAAUAACAAGAAAUAAUAAUAAUAAAAAAAAACUUCGGUCAGUUAAUUCUGGAAAAUAGUUAAAAUUGAGCAUGAUUGCAGGUAGGAUGCACGUCACACUACCGCCUCACAAAUUAAACAAGUCAUGUAGAUGUUGCACUCAAAGGACCCUCAAAUUAUUUUAUAUGAUUUCAUGGCAAUAUGAUCAUUAGGGCAUGCC